UACGUAGGGGGCAAGCGUUGUCCGGAUUUAUUGGGCGUAAAGAGCGUGUAGGCGGCCAGAUAAGUCCGCUGUGAAAACUCGAGGCUCAACUUCGAGCUGUCGGUGGAAACUAUCUGGCUAGAGUCCGGAAGAGGAGAGUGGAAUUCCUGGUGUAGCGGUGAAAUGCGCAGAUAUCAGGAAGAACACCCGUGGCGAAGGCGGCUCUCUGGGACGGUACUGACGCUGAGACGCGAAAGCGUGGGGAGCGAACAGG
Molecule: ribosomal RNA, 253 nt
Filed under: uncultured bacterium
Lineage: Bacteria
Description: partial 16S ribosomal RNA
Rfam family: Bacterial small subunit ribosomal RNA
Source: RNAcentral